Molecule: ribosomal RNA, 460 nt
Filed under: uncultured Porphyromonadaceae bacterium
Lineage: Bacteria; Pseudomonadati; Bacteroidota; Bacteroidia; Bacteroidales; Porphyromonadaceae
Description: bacterial SSU rRNA
Rfam family: Bacterial small subunit ribosomal RNA
Source: RNAcentral
CCUACGGGGGGCUGCAGUGAGGAAUAUUGGUCAAUGGGCGAAAGCCUGAACCAGCCAAAUCGCGUGAAGGAUGAAGGUAUUAUGUAUUGUAAACUUCUUUUAUCGGGGAAUAAAGUGCACCACGUGUGGUGUUUUGUAUGUACCCGAAGAAUAAGGAUCGGCUAACUCCGUGCCAGCAGCCGCGGUAAUACGGAGGAUCCAAGCGUUAUCCGGAUUUAUUGGGUUUAAAGGGUGCGUAGGCGGACUGUCAAGUCAGCGGUGAAAGUCCAUGGCUCAACCAUGGAAUUGCCGUUGAAACUGUCGGUCUUGAGUGUAGAUGAGGUAGGCGGAAUUCGUAGUGUAGCGGUGAAAUGCUUAGAUAUUACGAAGAACUCCAAUUGCGUAGGCAGCUUACCAGGCUACAACUGACGCUGAGGCACGAAGGUGUGGGGAUCAAACAGGAUUAGAUACCCCAGUAGUC